GACGAACGCUGGCGGCGUGCCUAAUACAUGCAAGUUGAGCGCUGAAGGUUGGUACUUGUACCGACUGGAUGAGCAGCGAACGGGUGAGUAACGCGUGGGGAAUCUGCCUUUGAGCGGGGGACAACAUUUGGAAACGAAUGCUAAUACCGCAUAAAAACUUUAAACACAAGUUUUAAGUUUGAAAGAUGCAAUUGCAUCACUCAAAGAUGAUCCCGCGUUGUAUUAGCUAGUUGGUGAGGUAAAGGCUCACCAAGGCGAUGAUACAUAGCCGACCUGAGAAGGUGAUCGGCCACAUUGGGACUGAGACACGGCCCAAACUCCUACGGGAGGCAGCAGUAGGGAAUCUUCGGCAAUGGACGAAAGUCUGACCGAGCAACGCCGCGUGAGUGAAGAAGGUUUUCGGACCGUAAAACUCUGUUGGUAGAGAAGAACGUUGGUGAGAGUGGAAAGCUCAUCAAGUGACGGUAACUACCCAGAAAGGGACGGCUAACUACGUG
RNAcentral lists this ribosomal RNA (497 nucleotides) under uncultured bacterium. RNAcentral describes it as "partial 16S ribosomal RNA". It matches the Rfam family "Bacterial small subunit ribosomal RNA", at positions 28 to 507 of the family's 1533-position model. The record is from RNAcentral.